This 1369-nucleotide ribosomal RNA is filed under the name uncultured bacterium. Its description in RNAcentral is "bacterial SSU rRNA". It matches the Rfam family "Bacterial small subunit ribosomal RNA", at positions 28 to 1381 of the family's 1533-position model. The record is from RNAcentral.
GACGAACGCUGGCGGCGUGCCUAAUACAUGCAAGUAGAACGCUGAAGAGAGGAGCUUGCUCUUCUUGGAUGAGUUGCGAACGGGUGAGUAACGCGUAGGUAACCUGCCUGGUAGCGGGGGAUAACUAUUGGAAACGAUAGCUAAUACCGCAUAAAAUUGAUUAUUGCAUGAUAAUUAAUUGAAAGAUGCAAUUGCAUCACUACCAGAUGGACCUGCGUUGUAUUAGCUAGUUGGUGAGGUAACGGCUCACCAAGGCGACGAUACAUAGCCGACCUGAGAGGGUGAUCGGCCACACUGGGACUGAGACACGGCCCAGACUCCUACGGGAGGCAGCAGUAGGGAAUCUUCGGCAAUGGGGGGAACCCUGACCGAGCAACGCCGCGUGAGUGAAGAAGGUUUUCGGAUCGUAAAGCUCUGUUGUAAGAGAAGAACGGGUGUGAGAGUGGAAAGUUCACACUGUGACGGUAUCUUACCAGAAAGGGACGGCUAACUACGUGCCAGCAGCCGCGGUAAUACGUAGGUCCCGAGCGUUGUCCGGAUUUAUUGGGCGUAAAGCGAGCGCAGGCGGUUAGAUAAGUCUGAAGUUAAAGGCUGUGGCUUAACCAUAGUAUGCUUUGGAAACUGUUUAACUUGAGUGCAGAAGGGGAGAGUGGAAUUCCAUGUGUAGCGGUGAAAUGCGUAGAUAUAUGGAGGAACACCGGUGGCGAAAGCGGCUCUCUGGUCUGUAACUGACGCUGAGGCUCGAAAGCGUGGGGAGCAAACAGGAUUAGAUACCCUGGUAGUCCACGCCGUAAACGAUGAGUGCUAGGUGUUAGGCCCUUUCCGGGGCUUAGUGCCGCAGCUAACGCAUUAAGCACUCCGCCUGGGGAGUACGACCGCAAGGUUGAAACUCAAAGGAAUUGACGGGGGCCCGCACAAGCGGUGGAGCAUGUGGUUUAAUUCGAAGCAACGCGAAGAACCUUACCAGGUCUUGACAUCCCUCUGACCGCUCUAGAGAUAGAGUUUUCCUUCGGGACAGAGGUGACAGGUGGUGCAUGGUUGUCGUCAGCUCGUGUCGUGAGAUGUUGGGUUAAGUCCCGCAACGGGCGCAACCCCUAUUGUUAGUUGCCAUCAUUCAGUUGGGCACUCUAGCGAGACUGCCGGUAAUAAACCGGAGGAAGGUGGGGAUGACGUCAAAUCAUCAUGCCCCUUAUGACCUGGGCUACACACGUGCUACAAUGGCUGGUACAACGAGUCGCAAGCCGGUGACGGCAAGCUAAUCUCUGAAAGCCAGUCUCAGUUCGGAUUGUAGGCUGCAACUCGCCUACAUGAAGUCGGAAUCGCUAGUAAUCGCGGAUCAGCACGCCGCGGUGAAUACGUUCCCGGGCCU